This 1153-nucleotide long non-coding RNA is filed under the name Cyanistes caeruleus (blue tit). RNAcentral describes it as "lncRNA (ENSCCEG00000004898.1)". The record is from RNAcentral. Lineage: Eukaryota; Metazoa; Chordata; Aves; Passeriformes; Paridae.
UUGGGCUCAAAUCCCAAUUUUUGGGUCUCAGCUCCCAAAUUUUGGGGUUCUUGGGUUGAUUUUGGGGUCCAGGUCCCAAUUUUGGACUUUCUGGACCCAAAUUUUGGGAUUCAGGGACAAAUUUUAGGUCUCAAUUCCCAAAUUUUGGGUCUCAAAUCCCAAUUUUUGGGGUCCAGGUACCAAUUUUGGACUUUCUGGACCCAAAUUUUGGGCUGAAAUCCCGAAUUUUGGGCUCCAAGCCCCAAUUUUGGACUUUCUGGACUCAAAUUUUGGGCUCAAAUCCCAAUUUUUGGGGCUCCAUUCCCAAAUUUUAGGGUCCAAGUCCCAAUUUUGGACUUUCUGGACCCAAAUUUUGGGAUUUUGGAGCAGAUUUUGGGCUCAAAUCCCAAAUUUUGGGGUUCCAUUCCCAAAUUUUAUGGUCCAGGUCCCAAUUUUGGUCCUUCUGGACCCAAAUUUUGGGCUCAAAUCCCAAUUUUUGGGUCUCAGCUCCCAAAUUUUGGGGUUCUUGGGUUGAUUUUGGGGUCCAGGUCCCAAUUUUGGACUUUCUGGACCCAAAUUUUGGGUCUGGACCCAAAUUUUGGGAUUUUGGAGCAGAUUUUGGGCUCAAAUCCUGGAAUUUUGGGGUUCUUGGGAUAAUUUUGGGCUCCAAGUCCCAAUUUUGGACUUUCUGGACCCAAAUUUUGGGCUCAAAUCCCAAUUUUUGGGUCUCAGCUCCCAAAUUUUGGGGUUUUUUGGUUGGUUUUGGGGUCCAAGUCCCAAUUUUAGGCUUUCUGGACUCAAAUUUUGGACUCAAAUCCCAAUUUUUGGUCUCAAAUCCCAAUUUUUGGGGCUCCAUUCCCAAAUUUUGGGGUCCAGGUCCCAAUUUUGGACUUUCUGGACCCAAAUUUUGGACUCAAAUCCCAGAUUUUGGGUCUCAAAUCCCAAAUUUUGGGCUCAAUUCCCAAUUUUUGGGUCUCAAUUCCCAAAUUUUGGGCUCAAAUCCCAAUUUUUGGGUCUCAAUUCCCAAAUUUUGGGAUUCUUGGGAUAAUUUUGGGCUCCAAGUCCCAAUUUUGGACUUUCUGGACCCAAAUUUUGGGCUCAAAUCCCAAUUUUUGGGUCUCAAAUCCCAAAUUUUGGGCUCAAAUCCCAAUUUUUGGGGUUCCCAACCCCCCAA